GGGUGACUGCGUACCUUUUGUAUAAUGGGUCAGCGACUUAUAUUUUGUAGCGAGGUUAACUGAAUAAGGGAGCCGAAGGGAAACCGAGUCUUAACUGGGCGAAGAGUUGCAAGGUAUAGACCCGAAACCCGGUGAUCUAGCCAUGGGCAGGUUGAAGGUUGGGUAACACUAACUGGAGGACCGAACCGACUAAUGUUGAAAAAUUAGCGGAUGACCUGUGGCUGGGGGUGAAAGGCCAAUCAAACCGGGAGAUAGCUGGUUCUCCCCGAAAUCUAUUUAGGUAGAGCCUUGUGUGAAUACCUUUGGGGGUAGAGCACUGUUUCGGCUAGGGGCCCAUCCCGGGUUACCAAACCGAUGCAAACUCCGAAUACCAAAGAGUAAUGCACAGGAGACACACGGCGGGUGCUAACGUCCGUCGUGGAGAGGGAAACAACCCAGACCGCCAGCUAAGGUCCCAAAAUCUAUAUUAAGUGGGAAACGAAGUGGGAAGGCUUAGACAGCUAGGAUGUUGGCUUAGAAGCAGCCACCAUUUAAAGAAAGCGUAAUAGCUCACUAGUCGAGUCGGCCUGCGCGGAAGAUGUAACGGGGCUAAAAUAUAGUACCGAAGCUGCGGCAUCAAUCGAAAGAUUGUUGGGUAGGGGAGCGUUGUGUAAGCGGAAGAAGGUGGUUCGAGAGGAUUGCUGGACGUAUCACAAGUGCGAAUGCUGACAUAAGUAACGAUAAAACGGGUGAAAAACCCGUUCGCCGGAAGACCAAGGGUUCCUGUCCAACGUUAAUCGGGGCAGGGUGAGUCGGCCCCUAAGGCGAGGCUGAAAAGCGUAGUCGAUGGGAAACGGGUUAAUAUUCCCGUACUUGGUAAAGCUGCGAUGUGGGGACGGAGAAGGUUAGGUUAUCGACCUGUUGGAGAUGGUCGUUUAAGUUGGUAGGUGGGUGAGUUAGGCAAAUCCGGCUCACCGUUAACACUGAGAGAUGAUGACGAGGCACUAAGGUGCUGAAGUAACUGAUACCACACUUCCAGGAAAAGCCACUAAGCUUCAGGCUUUACUAAACCGUACUGAAAACCGACACAGGUGGUCAGGUAGAGAAUACUCAGGCGCUUGAGAGAACUCGGGUGAAGGAACUAGGCAAAAUAGCACCGUAACUUCGGGAGAAGGUGCGCCGGCGUAGAUUGUAGUGACUUGCUCACGAAGGUUGAACCGGUCGAAGAUACCAGCUGGCUGCAACUGUUUAUUAAAAACACAGCACUCUGCAAACACGAAAGUGGACGUAUAGGGUGUGAUGCCUGCCCGGUGCUGGAAGGUUAAUUGAUGGUGUAAUCGAAAGAGAAGCUCCUGAUCGAAGCCCCAGUAAACGGCGGCCGUAACUAUAACGGUCCUAAGGUAGCGAAAUUCCUUGUCGGGUAAGUUCCGACCUGCACGAAUGGCAUAAUGAUGGCCAGGCUGUCUCCACCCGAGACUCAGUGAAAUUGAAAUCGCCGUGAAGAUGCGGUGUACCCGCGGCUAGACGGAAAGACCCCGUGAACCUUUACUAUAGCUUGACACUGAACCUUGAAUUUUGAUGUGUAGGAUAGGUGGGAGACUGUGAAGCGGUAACGCCAGUUAUCGUGGAGUCGUUGUUGAAAUACCACCCUUUAACGUUUGAUGUUCUAACGAAGUGCCUGAAACGGGUACUCGGACAGUGUCUGGUGGGUAGUUUGACUGGGGCGGUCUCCUCCCAAAGUGUAACGGAGGAGCACGAAGGUUUGCUAAUGACGGUCGGACAUCGUCAGGUUAGUGCAAUGGUAUAAGCAAGCUUAACUGCGAGACAGACAAGUCGAGCAGGUGCGAAAGCAGGUCAUAGUGAUCCGG
Molecule: ribosomal RNA, 1847 nt
Filed under: Avibacterium paragallinarum
Lineage: Bacteria; Pseudomonadati; Pseudomonadota; Gammaproteobacteria; Pasteurellales; Pasteurellaceae
Description: bacterial LSU rRNA
Rfam family: Bacterial large subunit ribosomal RNA
Source: RNAcentral